Long non-coding RNA from Hypanus sabinus (Atlantic stingray), 3077 nucleotides. RefSeq lists it as uncharacterized. The transcript is spliced from 3 exons. The record is from RefSeq and is a predicted model, not a curated record. NCBI's taxonomy places the organism in Eukaryota, Metazoa, Chordata, Chondrichthyes, Myliobatiformes, Dasyatidae.
UUCUGACUUGGAAAUAUAGAAGGUCUUGACGCAUUGGUUAAUGUCUGAAGUGAAAUGAGAUUGGAUUUCCUGCCGAUGAGACUGACACAAAGGCUGAAUCACUUGAUGUGUGAUGGGAGAUAUAGAUGGACAGAAUUUCCUUGUGAGUAAAAAACAUUUAUGACCAGGAAAUGAGGAGGAACUCGAUUUCUUUCUACUACAUUUGGUCAGCAAUAUGAAGUGAUAGAAUCAAGGAUUGUGUUUUCAAUUGUCCCUCCCGGCUGAACUCCCAAUUGCAAAUGGGAUUUAGAUGCUUUUUCAAGGAUGGAAUAGACAUUGUCUCUUUGUGGUUGGUUGUAGGCAGAAUUCAUUGGGCCUACAGGAGGAAAUAUGUUGGGAAAUUCUAACUGCUGCUGCAAUUGUGUCUUCAGCUGCAUUUUUCAACAAGUACAACUGAAGAAUUAAGAUAUAUUCUUAUUGCUCAAUUACAAUACAUCCAAUGACCAUGAUUGUCUGUGCAGGAGCACUUAGAAUAAAAAGCUGUCCACGGUGGGUGCUUAAAGAACAAUUUCCUUGUCUCCUAUGCCCAGUUAUGAUCAAAACAAGAAUAAAAUCCAAGCACUGAACUUAGAACCUUUAAGUCAUUUGCCAAACCAUGAAUGAAACAUAAAAUGUAGAAUGUGCAAUCACAAGUGCCUGAUGUUUCACAUUCAUUGAUACUUCUAUGUAUCUCAUUUCUGAGACAUUUUGUUAAAGUAACAAGACUGAAACUUCAAAUUUCCAUCAUGUAAAUUGCUUUAACAUAUUGUCUCUGAUUAUGCAGUUAAAUUUAGGAUGACAAUUCCGAAGGUAACAGAUCCACAGAAAAAAAAUAAUUGUGCUAAGUUUGAAGCCAGCAUUAAUACUGGACAUGCCCAAGGAAUCCAAUCACUUAAAAUUAAUCCCUGAAAGCCAUCAGAUGUCUUUGCUGACAGAGCACACAAUGCAGCUUUGUUUCACUCGCUUCUUUGCAGACAACAUACCCAGGCGUGUGUGAUGUCAAUUGUCUUCCAAUGCUCAUUUCACGUUGUUGCUGUAAAUUGGCCAAGAAAUGCAUAAUGAACUAACAACAUGGGCCUCAAUCAAGAUGAUGAGUAUUAAAUGAAAGACGAAGUCCCAUUCAAGCCAUCUGAAAGACACAGAUCCAACCCACAUAUUGUGAGGAAUGAACAAAUCAACAGUGAAUCAAAGCUCACAGAAAAUUUAUUAUUAAAGUACGUAUAGGUCACCAUACACAACCCUGAGAUUCCGUUUCUUGCGGGCAUUCUCAAUAAAUCCAAUAACCAUAAUGGAAUCAAUGAAGGCGGCACCAACUGGGCAGUGUGCAAAGGACAACAAGUUGCAAGUACAAAAAGAAAGAAGACGUAAUAAUGAAAAUAAAUCAAUAAGGAAUAAAUAUGAAGAACAAGAGAAGAAGAGUUCUUGAAAGUGAGUCCAUGGGUUGUGGGAAUAUUUUCGAGAUGGGGUGAAUGAAGUUGAGUGAAGUUAUCCCCUUUGGUUCGAGAGCCUGAUGGUUGAAAGGUAAUAACUAUUUCUGAACCUGGAUGUGUAAGUCCUGAGGCUCCUGCACCUUCUUCCUGAUGGGAACAGCACGACCUGAGUGCUUGGGGUCCCUGAUUAUGGAAACUGCUGUUCUGCAACACUCUAUGUAAAUGUGUUUAAUGGCGAGGAGGACUAUGCACUACUUUUUGUAGGAUUUUCCAUUCAAGUGCACUGGUGUAACCUAACCAGGCCAUGAUACAGCCUGUCAAUAUAUUUUCCACCACACAUCUAUAAAAGUUUGUCGAAGUUCCAGAUGUCAUGCCAAAUCUCUGCAAGCACCUGAGGAAGUAGAGGUGCUUUCUUGGUAAUUGCACUUAUGUGAAGACCCAGGAUACAGCUUAGAUGAAAUGAUGGGUGAGAUUUCAGAGUGCUUUACAGGAAAGGAAAUUGACAUUUUUUUUGGGGAAGUUCCACAGUUCCUGUAAUAUUCCCCCUGGGUCCCUGUUUUUGCUGUCAUAAUCUCCCAUUCUAGUGUUGAGAAGUGAGGUGUUUGUUCCUGUGUCUGUCUCAUUUCAUCAUAUCAUGUCAACUCAAAUCACUCGAUUGGACUGAGUUGAGAAAUGCUGCUUUAAAUUCUCCAGACAGAGUGAGACAUGCUUAGUUCAUGAUUGUAAUCAGCACAUGAAAGCAGGUGUAGCAAAUGUACUCAAAGGAUCGGAGAAUUAAGUUGGUUAAUAUAAGACUCCGCAUACCGUAUGCAUGCACAGAUAAAUAUCAUUCCAUUGCCAAGACUAGGUAAAUAUGACACAUGACCCUGCAGCAGCAAUUCAGAAUUUUAUGAGAUUAGAAACACUGGCCCCAGUAGAGUUGUGUCCCAGCACUCACAGUGUUAAUAAAACUGGAUUGAACUCCUCAGAAUCAGAAUUGGGUUCAAAAUCACCAGCACGUGUCAUGAAAUUUGUUAACUCUGUGGCAGCAGUGUAAUGCUAUUCAUGACAAAUAUAGAAAAGAAGAUAAAUUACAGUAAUACAUGUGCAUGUGUGUGUGAGUGUGUGCGUGUGUGUGUGUUGUAUAUUAUCUAGUUAAAAUAAAAUUAGUAAUGCAAAACAGAGAAAUAAAUAAAAGGAAGUAGUGAGGUAGCGAUCAUGGGUUCAGUGUACAUUUAGAAAUCAGAUGACAGAAGGGAAGAAGCUGUUCCCGAAUCACUGAGUGUGUGCCUUCAGGCUUCUGUACUUCCUUCCUGAUGGUAUUAACGAGAAGAAUGCACGUCCUGGGUGGCAGGGGUCCUUAAUGAUGGGCACUGCCUUCCUGAGGCACUAUUCCUUGAAGAUCUCUUGGAUACUGUGGAGGCUAGUACCUAUGAUGGAACUGACUAAUUAUACAACUUUCUGCAACUUACUUCAAUCCUGUGUAAUACCCCCACUACUAAACUUUGAUGCAGUCCUUCUGAAUACUCUCCACGGUCCAUCUGUAGAAGUUAUUUAUUAAAUCUAUAUGUUCAAUAAAUUAAACUGCCUGAUUAAGAAACAUGAAGUAAUUUUUCCUUCAACAAAGCAAGAGAGUUUUCUUCAGAUAAA